This 261-nucleotide ribosomal RNA is filed under the name uncultured bacterium. Its description in RNAcentral is "partial 16S ribosomal RNA". It matches the Rfam family "Bacterial small subunit ribosomal RNA", at positions 95 to 354 of the family's 1533-position model. The record is from RNAcentral.
CCGGCGCACGGGUGAGUAACACGUAUGCAACCUGCCUGCCACAGCCGGAUAAUCGGGAGAAAUUCCGUCUAAUACGGCAUAAUGCAUCGACGGGACAUCCUGUUGGUGCCAAAGGUUAAUUCCGGUGGCGGAUGGGCAUGCGUCGCAUUAGUUAGUUGGCGGUGUAACGGACCACCAAGACGACGAUGCGUAGGGGUUCUGAGAGGAAGGUCCCCCACAUUGGAACUGAGACACGGUCCAAACUCCUACGGAAGGCAGCAG